Molecule: long non-coding RNA, 4164 nt
Organism: Triticum aestivum (bread wheat)
Lineage: Eukaryota; Viridiplantae; Streptophyta; Magnoliopsida; Poales; Poaceae
Exons: 4
Source: RefSeq, a predicted model, not a curated record
UGCCGUAGGUUGACGCAAAGUGUCAAACUUGGCCCACCCGUCAGUUCCACUUGCUGACCUCCAGUCCUCCACCAUGAAUCGGGGAUCCCCAAUCUCGUGCCCCCGGAGCUCCCUCCCGGCGCCGCCGCCUCUUGCAUCGGUGAUCCCCAAUCUCGUGCCUCCAGAGCUCCCUCCCAGCGCCGCUGCCUCUUGCCCUGCGCCCUCCCCUUCUCACUGUCUGAUUCAGACGGGGAAGCACGGCUGCGUGAAGGAGGUCUGGAUCUGACGCCCUGUGAUCUCGCCGUCCCUGCCCGACAAGCAGCGGUGGCCGUCCCCAUUCUCCGCAGCGGCCCGUCUGCCUCCCAGAUCCGGCCGGUGCUGCCUGUCCACCGCGGCCAGACCAAGAAGACCGACCAUGGGGCAUUUGGAGAGGACGGGAAGCAAAAGGGUGGAAGGAGGACCAGUCAGAACAAUACUCCGUAGAUCAGGGCAGAUAUGACAGUCAUCAUAAUGCGCCUCAAGUUAUACUGAGGACUUCUCCAGUAAGUUAUGUUUUGUUUCCACAAGCAAGCUUUAAGUUGAAUCCAGCCAUUCUGUGCAAAACUAUGGGAGAAGCGUAGAUUUUCUGAAUUUGGUAAUGGGAUACUUAGCUGCUCCACUAGAUCUUCAGCUUCUCUGCAGAAAAGUAACUUUAAUUCUUCGAAACUUCAAAUGGAGGUAUUUUGUUUGGCUAAAAUUUUUGCUACUCCCUCCGUUCACUUUUAUAAGUCGUUUCAGACAAGUAAAAUUAAGCUGUUUUGCACAAUGUCUGAAAUAUCUACAAAGCCUUAUAAAAGUGAGCAGAGGGAGUAGAUGAAUUUUAUUUUGCUUAAGCUAUUCAUAUAUGUUGUCUUUUGCUCGAUAUUCUAACUAAAUCCACAAGAUAUGUACCUAUGCAGUGACGACUCUUCAUACAAAAUUGCAAAGUCCAUGUUGUGUUGAACCUCCAUUGAUGUCGAUGUUACAUCCAUCAUCCAGGUAGCUGGAUUGCAGUUACUCUUUAUUUUUGGGACUCCAGAAAUUUUCUAUCAAGUGGACAAGCAAAAAUCAAUCUAUUAGAAUCAAAGGACACAUGUCACAAAUAUGGCAGAGCCAUGCCACAACCGUGCUUCCUCUCUGAAAACACCGAAACACAUACAUAGAUAUGCAAACAAAGUUCUUCAGUAUGUUUUUAGUUUCCCUUGCCAAUCUGCACGUUUAUUAUCACAUUUGCUUUUAAGUUCAACAUGUGAAAUGCAUAUGAUCACAUCAAAAUUUUGAUUAACCUAUAUAUUUCAUGUGAAUUGUUAGCCAAGUUACAUAUUGAACACAAAUGACUGCUAUAGUUGACUUAAGUGUUUUGGCCAUGGCAUGUUGAACAUUUGAGCACUGGUUUUGGGGUUUGUAACUUUGGAACUCUCACGUUUAAUGUCCCAAUUCCAGAAAAAACAGGGAAAAUGAAUAAUCAAGAAAAGGCAGAUACAUUUGUGGAAAUAUGUUCAAGAAACUUGCCUCAAAGUACUCAAUCACUUUGCAGGAGCGCUCUCCUAUUGGUCCAUUGUAGAUUGUUUUCCCACCGGUUUUCAUUAAUAUGAGCUGCAAGAAAAUUUACCACAUGCAUUAUAGGCAACUUUUGACUACAACUAGCCCUGUAAUAAAGAAAAUAUAUACCCUUUUGUUAUUGUAUAAACAGAGAAGUAGCAAAUAUAAACUGUCCGUAGUCACGUCGAUUUGUGAUAAACAUAUAGAUCUGAGAUUUUACGGAUUUCCUAUACUAUACCAAUUUCUAUUUGUUACACUAUUUCCGCUCACGUACCGUAUUAAUGGGCGAACAACCCAACCCUUGGAACCACCUACAGCUAUGUGGUAUGGGUCAGCAACGACCCCAGUCGAAUUAUUUGGGCCUACUCAUUUUAUUAAUCAAAGAGAUACGACUUUGGGCUAAGGAAUUCAUUAUAGGAAUGUUUCUGAUAGAAAUGGUUUGCUUUUGCACAUUCAGGAAACCAAAAAAUAUUCUAUUCGGUGACUUUGCAGUAUAAGCCCUCAAAAUUGUUUUAGUUCUGUAUUCAAGCCCAGUAAGUCCAAAUUUUGGCGAUGCGAUGACAAAUUUGUGUCAGUGUGGACACUUAGUUCAAAUAAGAGAUAAAAAUUAACUGACAUUGAACACAUAGACGUUCAAAUAAUUAAGAGAUCAAAACAUGUCAUUGUAUGUUUAUACUUUAUUCUUCAUGCGGACUGAUAUAGUGGGGUUGUUUUUAUACCCAAAGUCCAAAUGUUUAAGGUAAGAAAAGUUCUCCCGAAACAGAAAAUUGAUGGUAGAUGCUCCCUCUGUCACAAAAUGUAAGGCGUUUUUUGACACUAUGAUAAUGUCAAAAAGCGUCUUAUAUUUUUACACAGAGGGAGUAGUAAAUACUCCGAAGGGGAGCCUUGGCGCAGUGGUAAAGCUGCUGCCUUGGUUCAAGUCCUGGAAACAGCCUCUUACAGAAAUGUAGGGAAAGGCUGCGUACUAUAGAUCCAAAGUGGUCGGACCCUUUCACGGAACCUGCGCAGGGCUGCCUUAGGGAGUAGUUGUUAAGCAUCUUACUAUAAUUUAGAUCCAAUCCUACUUAGCUCAAAUCAAUGUUUAUAUCUCUAUUAUUCAAAGGGUCAAAAAAUGUCUUACAUUUUGAGACAGAGGGAGUAGCAAAUACUCCCUCCGUUCUUAAAUACAAGUCUUUGUAGGGAUUUCAUCAGGUGGACUACAUACGGAGCAAAAUGAAUGAAUCUAAACUUAAAAUGCAUCUAUAUACAUCCGUAUGUGGUUCAUAGUGGAAUCUCUACAAAGACUUACAUUUAGGAACGGAGGGAGUAGUUGUUAAGCGAAGGGGAGCCUUGGCGCAGUGGUAAAGCUGCUGCCUUGUGACCAAGAGGUCACGGGUUCAAGUCCUGGAAACAGCCUCUUACAGAAAUGUAGGGAAAGGCUGCGUACUAUAGACCCAAAGUGGUCGGACCCUUCCCCGGACCCUGCGCAAGCGGGAGCUACAUGCACCGGGCUGCCCUUUUUAGGGAGUAGUUGUUAAGCGUCUUACUAUAAUUUAGAUACCAAUCCUACUUAGCUCAAAUCAAUGUUUAUUCAUAGAUAUAUUAUUCAAAGGGGUCUGAUUAGGUAUUUUCAGUAUAAAAUGCUGGAUCUAACAAAACCAAAUAAGAGAAGGUUUCAUAUAAGCAAAGUUUAAGUUGAAGGGUUUUGUUGCACAUAAUUGAUCAUUUGAGGGGACAAAAGUGCAAUUUGAAGUCUAGGUUGUGCAAAGUGAAAUCUUGACAGGCUUAUAUUGCAAAUUUUGAUCCUAUUAUUUCCUAUCAUUAUUAUUUACUAGAAAGGCAUGAACAAAAGACAUGUGUUUUAAAUUUUGGGUAACUAAUAAUGUACUACAUCUGUAACUAAAUAUAAGACGUUUUUGCAGUUCAAUUUGAACUGCAAAAACGUCUUAUAUUUGGUUACAGAGGUAGUGCAUCUUAAGCUUAGCCCAGCUCUGCUGAAGGCAAGAGCUUUAUUUAAUCCCAAUAGUUUUGAAACUAGACAUAUUUGAUGUUUCCAGAAAAAAUAAAUUGUGUUGAUCGUGCUUGAUAUAUAUAAUAAAAAUUUAUUUGUGUUGAUUGUGUUUAAUAUACUAAUAUAUUUGGAAAGUUAAAUUACCUCAUCAAAUGCCUCAAAAAUUUCAGUGCUCGGCUGAUGGAUUGUACAGACUACCGUCCUUCCUGUUUCACAAAUAUUUUUGACUGCACGAAUAACAAUGGCUGCUGACCUUGUAUCUAAACCUGUUGUUGGUUCAUCCAUUAGUAUGAUUGAUGGGUUUGAAACAAGCUCGACUGCAAUCGUUAGCCUCUUUCUCUGCUCCAUGGACAAUCCAUUUUUCUGUGGUGACCCCACUAAGACAUCUUUUAUUUGAUCUAGUUCAACAGUUUCAAGGACUUCAGCAACAAAUUUCUAUGAGAGGAAAAAGAAGAAUAUUGUUAGUUUCUUAGGCAGACGAAGCCACGCAGAAUAAGUUACAGACUCUUCAACUGUAAGCUGUGGGGAAUGUAUGUCGACUUGUUCGCAGUAACCCAAGAUUCUGACAAAUGUUUCCUGCACCUUGGGAUAUCCACCUAUUCUUAUGUCCCCUUCAAUAUAACCUCCUGUUUUCC